This 585-nucleotide ribosomal RNA is filed under the name uncultured bacterium. Its description in RNAcentral is "partial 16S ribosomal RNA". It matches the Rfam family "Bacterial small subunit ribosomal RNA", at positions 355 to 1375 of the family's 1533-position model. The record is from RNAcentral.
UGGGGAAUUCUGGACAAUGGGCGAAAGCCUGAUCCAGCAAUGCCGCGUGUGUGAAGAAGGCCUUCGGGUUGUAAAGCACUUUUGUCCGGAAAGAAAUCCUUGGCUCUAAUACAGUCGGGGGAUGACGGUACCGGAAGAAUAAGCACCGGCUAACUACGUGCCAGCAGCCGCGGUAAUACGUAGGGUGCAAGCGUUAAUCGGAAUUACUGGGCGUAAAGCGUGCGCAGGCGGUUUGCUAAGACCGAUGUGAAAUCCCCGGGCUCAACCUGGGAACUGCAUUGGUGACUGGCAGGCUAGAGUAUGGCAGAGGGGGGUAGAAUUCCACGUGUAGCAGUGAAAUGCGUAGAGAUGUGGAGGAAUACCGAUGGCGAAGGCAGCCCCCUGGGCCAAUACUGACGCUCAUGCACGAAAGCGUGGGGAGCAAACAGGAUUAGAUACCCUGGUAGUCCACGCCCUAAACGAUGUCAACUAGUUGUUGGGGAUUCAUUUCCUUAGUAACGUAGCUAACGCGUGAAGUUGACCGCCUGGGGAGUACGGUCGCAAGAUUAAAACUCAAAGGAAUUGACGGGGUCAUAGCUGUUUCCU